This 3294-nucleotide long non-coding RNA is filed under the name Homo sapiens (human). Its description in RNAcentral is "HSALNT0195612". Lineage: Eukaryota; Metazoa; Chordata; Mammalia; Primates; Hominidae. The record is from RNAcentral.
CUGCGGCCCAGUACGGGAUCCACUGGGUGAAGCCAACUGGGCUCCUGAGUCUGGUGGGGACUUGGAGAACCUUUAUGUCUAGCUAAGGGAUUGUAAAUACACCAAUCGGCACUCUGUAUCCAGCUCAAGGUUUGUAAACACAACAGUCAGCACUCUGUGUCUAGCUCAGGGUUUGUGAAUGCACCAAUCGACACUCUGUAUCUAGUUACUCUGGUGGGGACUUGGAGAACCUUUGUGUCCACACUCUGUAUCUAGCUAAUCUAGUGGGGACGUGAACUUUUGCGUCUAGCUCAGGGAUUGUAAACGCACCAAUCAGCACCCUGUCAAAACGGACCAAUCAGCUCUCUGUAAAACAGACCAAUUGGCUCUCUGUAAAGUGGACCAGUCAGCAGGAUGUGGGUAGGGCCAGACAAGAGAAUAAAAGCAGGCUGCCGGAGCUGGCAGUAGCAAUUGGCUGGGGUGUUUUUCCGCUCUGUGGGAGAUUUGUUCUUUCGCUUUUUGGGUCCACGCUGCGUUUGUGAGCUGUAACACCGUGAAGGUCUGCAGCUUCACUCCUGAAGUCAGGCGAGAAGACUACGAACCCACCUGGAGGAACGAACAACUCCAGACUCGCCGCAUUAAGAGCGGUAACACCGCGAAGGUCUGCAGCUUCACUCCUGAGCCAGCGAGAUCACGAACCCACCGGAAGGCUGUAACAUAUCUGAACAUCAGAAGGAACAAACUCCGGACAGGCCGCCUUCAGGAACUGUAACACUCACCGCGAGGGUCCGUAGCUUCAUUCUUGAAGUCAGUGAGACCAAGAGCCCACCAAUUCCGGACACAACAGGACACACUGCGGCUUCUCCUGGCUUUUUCAAAGUUCAGCCCAAGAGGAAGAGAGACCUAAUUAAUACCCAGGAGAUGGUGGUGUUUAUUUUUUCCAGCUGGGACAACUAAGGCCCCGAGAGGAGAAAGGGACUAUCCGGGGUACAGAGGCCACUGAGUCAGAGCUAGGACCAACAUAUCACCAGCUCUCCCUCUUCAGCGCAGACCCCAACUCACCAGCGGUGGCUUCCUGAAGAGCUGGGUUAAGGAGGAUUCUGAGGUGCAGCAGAGCUCGCUAAGAGGCUGACGGGUAAGGGGUGCUGCGCUGUGAGCACAGGAGCCAGACAGUCCUACAGUUCAACUCCAACAUCAGGGACUGAGUCGUACACAGGAAGAUCACUGAGUAGGUUCUGUGGAGACGCAGUCGGCCCAUAUGCACGUCACCACUCGGCUCCCAGCUCAGGUGCAGACCAACGGCGACCACUUGCUCCACUUUGCUCUGUGACAGCAGACGAGGAGCCCACCCACCCCUAUCCGAGCCGACCCCUGACUGCCCCUGCCAUUGCUCCCUGCUGAGUUGCAGACAUUGACUUCUUGCCAAGCCUCAGGCCUUGCUCACAUCGACACCUCACAGUGACCCUGAGAGGCAGAUGCUGUGACCCCAUUUCACAGAUGAAGGGCCUGAGCCACAGAGGAGGAAGACUGCCUCAGCCACGCCGCUAGUAAGUGGUAGUUCCCAACUCUAGAGUCCCAAAAGAAUUCUGUCCUACUUAUGAAAAGUAUAUCCAAUAAGCAGUACCUCCCUGUGUUUACAACUUAUCUGCUGAUCCCAAGGAUGGGAAAAGCUGCACUCAGAAACUUGCAAAUUGUGCAACUGUUCCCCACGAUUCCCUUGGGGCCAGUGCCGACUGAGGCAUCUCCAGGAGGCCCCAGUUGGGCUUGGGGACAUGCUGAGAGGUGACAGCACUGCUCUCAAGUCAUAUCCUCUGCUUCUGCAAAAGCUGUGGAGCUCACCCAUCAAUAGCAGCUCCAUGCCGGGCGCAGUGGCUCACGCCUGUAAUCCCAGCACUUUCGGAGGCUCAGGCGGGCAGAUCAUCUGAGGUCAGGAGUCCGUGACCAGCCUGGCCAACAUGGUGAAACCCCGUCUCUACUAAAAGUACAAAAACUUAGCUGGGUGUGGUGGUGUACGCCUGUGAUCCCAGCUACUCAGGAGGCUGAGGCAGGAGAAUUGCUUGAACCCAGGAGGGGGAGGUUGCAGUGAGCUGAGAUCACGCCAUUGCACUCCAGCCUGAGCAACAGAGCAAGACUCCAUCGCAAAAAAAAAAAAAAAAAAAAAAGGCUCUAGCAUUGCCAGAUCCCAGGCCCUGUGGAAGGUAUUUCCCUCCCUCUUUUGUCCUUGCUUGUCUCAGAGCCCUUUUCACAGUCUCUUGUGUGCUUCUUUCCCUGUUAGGACCAAUCUUUACAACUCCAGCAAGCGCAGCAAAUAAGAUGCAGAACUGGGGGAGAUGCAACGUAUGACUCAAUUCCCUUGAGCCGAAAACACUCACUUAUUAACAAUAUUUUUUUCUUUUUUUUGAGACAGAGUCUCACAAAAACAGGCACACGCCCCCACACCCGGCUAAUUUUUGUAUUUUUAGUAUAGAUGGGGUUUCACCAUAUUGGUCAGGCUGGUCUGAACUCCUGCCUUCAGGUGAUCCACCUGCCUCAGCCUUCCAAAGUGCUGGGAUUACAGGCAUAAGCCACCACGCCCCACCAAUGAAAUGUUUUCUAAAGGUGUUUUCAUCCCUUUUGUGAUCUCCUAAACUCCCAAGGUGUAUCACACACUUCGCUGGGCUCUGGGCAAACAAAACUUAGACAAGGUCCCUGAUUCUAGAAACCCUCGGUCGAGGGAACCACAAACCAACCAGAGUGGAGGGCAGGGAGAGGUCCUAGGUUGGGAGCUGGGAGCCUGGAGCACGUGCCAGGUGCUCUGCAGCCCAGCUUCAUUAUGGAGGCUCAAGCGCUGUGAAUUUCCAAAAACAGUGAACACACCCCUAGCUGAUUGAAAUACAAAAAACAUAUUCCACAGCCAAAUGAAAAUGACUUUUGGAUCCUCCACCUAAUUUGGGUGUUUAUGCCGCCUCGCCCCUCUUUUGGCCUGGACAAUUGAAAUAUAUCUGCUCUCAGGGGAGACGCCCACGGUGUCAGGGCUGGAGUUGGCAAGAGACAGGGGGAAGAGGACUAGACCUGGAGUCAGAGAUGAAGUUCUUGUCUGGGAUCUGUCACUAAGUCUCAGCGGGGACCCAGGAAGUCACUCCACCUCUCAUAGUUCCUCAUCCACAAAGUGGAAAUACAAGCAAGUUUAAUUCUCCAUCGUAAGGUUGGAGCUCCUGUCUGUGAAAGGACUGGAAAUGUAAAAUGCGCUCUUCAAGUACAAAGGCAGAGAGGAUCCAUAAACAGGCACAGGCUGCCCUUUGGUAUAAACUGUUCACAUUAAAUCUAUGUUAUGUU